Molecule: long non-coding RNA, 1231 nt
Filed under: Crocodylus porosus (Australian saltwater crocodile)
Lineage: Eukaryota; Metazoa; Chordata; Crocodylia; Crocodylidae
Description: lncRNA (ENSCPRG00005002850.1)
Source: RNAcentral
AUGGUCCAAAAUCAUCAGGGCUCAAAUGGACCUGCAGGUUCACGGCUACCGCGCAUAUUAAAAGGACAGUCUCCAAAAAAUGUUGACAGCAAUCCCAUUUAUCAUCACACGCAUGUGCAACUGGAACCAACUGGAAGGACUGGGGUAAAUCCUCAGCUGGCAGAAACUGAUACAGCUCCACUGGCUUCAGUGGAUAUAUGCCAAUUUACACCAUCUGCAGACCUGAUACGCUCCAUGUGACAAGGUAUAGCUCCAUGUGACAAGGUAUAGCUGCACUUGAAUGCCCUUUUCACUUCUCUUUUUUUAAAAUGUCUUUCUUUAUGAAUUAACUAAAGCAAUAUUCAUUCAGGGUAGGUUGGGACUGACUAUUGCAAGGUCCCUGGGUUUUCCUCCGAGAUAUCUGGGUCUGACCACUGCUGGAGACAGGAGACUGGGCUAGAUAAGGCUCUGGUCUGAUACAGCAUGGAAAUUAUGUUCCUAGUCUCAUGCUGCUGUUGCUGCACUAUCUUGAAUUUCCAGCCUGAGAGAGUAAGACAUUUGCUAUUUAUUCAAUGAUGGGACACAGCUUUUGCAAUAGCUUUUCCAGCUUCUUCUACCUCCCCCAGCCAAUAAGUCUCCAACCCAACCUAAUGAAAUCUCCUCAAAAGCUCCCCUGAUUGUACUCUCCCUGGGUUUAAUCCUCCCCAAGAAUGCCAGCCUGUGCUUACAUCCCACAUAAGCCUUCAAAAUAAGGUGCAAGGGAAGCACUGGCCUCCUGCCGCCAACCUUCUGCACAGGGAUGGAUUUUACCCACUAAAAGUCAGAUUCUGUUUCAUGUAGUAGGCAUCUAAGUGGUACUUAGACAUCAAAGCCACUAAGUGCAAUCUUAUUCCAUUCUGUUCAAGCCCCUUGAAACCAUUAACAUGACUAUCUUUAUAACAUGCCUUCAUCUUAGCCUUAACACUAAGUCACAAAAAACAAGGAGGAGACCCCACCUAUCUUCUGCAUUAAUAGCUUUUCAGGGACUUGAGCAAGAUGAAAUACAGUCGCACUUAGAGAUGCCUAAGAGGGGGAAUAGGAUCUGGCUGUAGGAAUUUUACCUCUGCUUUCUAGGGAAGCAGGUUCUGCCUGUAGAGAUGAGAGGUGAAGUCAGUCCCUGUGGCGCGUUCAAAUCCUCUCCACCAAGUCACCAAUAGAGAGAGGGGUCUUUUAUUCUGUUUUCUUUUAAUCAAACCUCCUCCUCUAGCUGCAA